This 5308-nucleotide long non-coding RNA is filed under the name Actinidia chinensis (golden kiwifruit). RNAcentral's name for it is "long non-coding RNA (ACHI_LNC009136)". Lineage: Eukaryota; Viridiplantae; Streptophyta; Magnoliopsida; Ericales; Actinidiaceae. The record is from RNAcentral.
GUCUUCACCUCUAAAGCUCAAGAACACAUGGGAAUUGCAUCGAGGUGUGAAAGAGAGGGCCUCUUGAUAUCUCGCAAUAGCCAUUGAACAAACCCUUAUGAUAUAACUGAAGGGAUACUACAAUUUGUCAAAUAUUUGAGGAUGUAUCAGAUAGUCACUAUGAACUACAAACUAUGAAAUCAUCAACCCAGAUCAAAAUUAGUUACCAACACUCAAAGCCGCACACACACAUCAGCUUAUUGAAGAACCAAUACACACUAUAUUAUACUUAUAUAAGGAUUAAAAAAUAGUGUUCCCAACAUUCGAUUAUAUUUGUCUUUUUUAAGAGUUUCCAACUUUCUAAAGGUAAAGUAGUUAUUGCAUUGGAACUCAAAUUCAAAUACUUGUAUAUGAUUACCAACGCUGCCCCUUUAUUUCAAAUAUAUUACAAAUCUCAUGCUUUGAUGUUUUAAAGUGGGCAACCAUUUUGGAAUAUCUUUAAAUAAAAAGAUAAACAAAAAAAACAAGGACAAUAGGGAGUAAUUAAGAAUCUGUAGCAAAACCAUCUAAUUCUAAUCCAUGCAAAUGCAACAAUACUACAUACCCAUAAAAAUUAGCCAUAAGAAAUGUAAAUGCACAUUUUUCAUGGAUGUAACGUUAAACGCAUCCAUGAAUAGAUAGUGAAGCAACUUCUAUUUUUUUUAUUGUUAAUUUCUAAUUUUCUGAUGGGAAACAAUUCAUCUGCAUAUUUAGCUUUCCUAUUUUCAAGCACAAAAUUAGUAUAGUCAAUAGAUUUAAUUGUCCUUAUAUAAUGGAAUACCGUAUCACCUAUAUAUAUAAUAAGUGUAAUACCCUAUUUUUAUAAAUAGAUAAAUAUUUAUUUUAAAGUUCGAUUAAAAUUUUCUACAACUCGGGUAUAUAUAUUUUUUAUACUGGGUAGGUAGUAUAGGGUCAUUUUGUAUAAAUUCGGUACCUAGGGGUUACUGUUUUUCAAUUUAAAUUAAAUCUUGUAUUUUUAGACUGUGGGUAAUUACGCGUGUGAGAGAUAGUCAAAUGGGGGUGUGGGUUGGUUAUCUUCGAUUAGCAUAUCCAGAGUAACAAAUUUGGGGUUAUUGAUCAGAGAAAGAGAGAGAGGAGAAGAAGAAGAAGAAGGAGAAGAAGAAGAGGGAAACCAUGGAGAUAAAUUGACGGAAUUGUUGUGCCCAAAACUUAACAGAAACCACACACACAGAGACAGAUAUUUACGAAGUUUGUUAAAUUGCCUGCGUCCUCGGGUGGUAGCAAUUCUAAUAUAUAGAGAAAGAUUUCCAAAUUAAAGUUUCUCACUCUCUCUCUCUCUCAAGUCUAAUAUAUAGAGAAAGAUUUCUAGAUUACAAGUUUCUCAUUCUCUCUCUCUCAUGUUUUCUGAUUUACUCUCACCUACCCGCACCAUUCUAAAGUCUAUACAUGAGGUCAAACUCUUGGAAUCCAAACAUGAAGUUAAAGCCAAUUUUCAACGAUCACCUUGGCGAAAAUUUCUCCCAACCAUAGUAAUACUGUCACCAAUGCCCUUUUAAGCAUUUUAGAUUUAGCAUUGGUCAUCGUAGUCCUGUGCUCAAAGAUGGUAAAAGUACCAGUAGUCUUCGAAGAUUCUACCAUCUUAACAAUUUCGGCUCCACCAAAACUAAUAUGGAGUCAAAAUCCACAAAUUCGAAUCUCGCAGAUAGAUCCAAAGUACAGGAAAACCUUGGAGAGGGUCUAAACUAAAAAAUUCAAAAAGUUUAGGGAACAAACUAUAAUUAUCAAAAUUUCAAAGAUCCAACUGUAAUUUUAACAAACUUUUGGGACCAAAACUUAAUUUUUCCAAAAAUUAGGGACUUAAAAAAUAAAAAUUUCAAACUUCAAGGACCACUAUGUAAUUUCCCAAAUUGAGAGAAUAUUCUUGGAAUAUUCUAUUUGUUGACUAGGCACUAAUUGGAUCGUUUAUGUGGCACUAAUGUGGUGAUAAUUGGAUGCUGACUAAGCGCUGGUUGAUGUUGAUGGGCCCUUGACUUAAUACUGACAGAGUGCUGACGAGGCAUUAACGAAGCAUGUGCAGCUCGUGGACUACUUAGAGUGUAGCACGUGGGCGUGAGUAGAUUUCAUGCGCCGAUUGCUAGGUGGCGUGCGGGUGUGUGUGUGUGUGCGAGGUUUGGGUCGCAGUUUGAACUAGGAGAUUCGUCUCAUCGAGACGAACAUGAUGGUGUUCUCAAAAAAUAUUUUAAAACACUUGUAAUAAACUGAGACUCUAUCUGACUCUGAUAUUAUGCUCAUAAUUAACAAAAACCACACACAGAAACAUUUACACACACAAAGACAGACAAGGUUCGACAAAUUGCCUACUUCUUCGGGUGGUAGCGAUGUCAGUAUAUAGAGAAAAAUUUACAAAUUACAAGUUUUUGACUCUCUCUCAAGCUUUCUGAUUUACUCUCACUUACCCACACCAUUAUAUAGCCUAUAUGUAAGGUAUAUAUAGGAUGAGAUAUACAUAUUUCAGAAAGCCAUAGCGACUUUCUUGGAGCUCAAAAGCUCCAUCGGAAGGGAGCUACAUUGGAAAUGAUUGUUCUUGAAAAUGGAUGAAUCAAACUCUUGAAACCAAAACAUGAAGUUAAAGCCAAUUUCCAACGGUAAUUAAAUGCUAAAUGCAAUAUGUAAUAUUAUUAACUAGAAAAUGAGCAAGUUUGCAAAAAUUUAUUUGUGGGUAGUAGAUCAACUUGCACCAAAUAAGUUUAAAAAUGACAAAAUUUCAGGUCUAGUAUUUUAAUGUAACAAUAAACCAAUCAUAAUCUCUUUCUGAGAUUUGAAAUAUGAUUGGGAUCCGCUAGCUUUAGUUGACAAGUUGAUGGAGAACUUGUAGUCGCCCGUUACAUGGACGGCUUCUAUGGUUGCUGAUUCGAUUUGGGCCUGAAUGGACAUUGGUGGAAUGGGUUAAAAAGAUCCAUAUUUGAUGUAAAAUGAUAGAUGAUCAAUACUCAUCGCUUUACUAUAACUAGCGAUGAAUUUCGGCAAUAUUUUGUCGUUUAGACGGAAAAAAUUGUCAUUUUUUGAAAUAUUUGACAGGUGAAUAACUCAUGAUUUAAUUCCGAUUUAUGCGGGAUUUGUGGGAGAGUUUUUUUUAUCCUUAUAGUUUCUAGAUUUGAGUUUAACUCAAAUCUUUCAGUAUUUUUUCUUUUUUGGUAAAUUUUAAUUUUCCUAAAUAAUUGCUUGAUUAACAAGCAAUUACCUAUCUUUAUUUCUUUACUAAGCUCAGUUAGGGUUUAUUAGCACUGUAAAUACAAUGUAAUGCCUCUUGGCUAAUUAAUUGAGUUUGACUAAUAAUAGUGAGUUGAGAGAGCAUAUUUUCUUUUUCAUAUUUUUUUGAUAUUCAUAGGAUUCGACAGAAUUAUAAAAUGGAUUGUUAUUUUUUCUUGCUUUCAAAUCUAUUCUUCACAACGUUUCACGCUGCAUCACAAGUCAAAAUAGUUAAAAUGUACAUUCUUAUACUCUAGUCUCUAGAGAAGCAACAUCUAUUUCCUAGCUAAUGCAUCUAGUUGCAUCACUACCACUCAUUGUUUUUUUGUCUUUUAAGUUAUAUUAAUUGUGCAUGUUUUGGGGAUCAUAUAAGUUGAAAAACCCAAAUAAGUACACCAUGUAAGCCUUAACCAAUAAUAUCUCCACUUUGCACUCUCAAUUAUAUAAACCUUGCAAUCAACCUUGACAUCCAACAUUUAUCUAUAAAAUAGACAAAAAAUUCCAGUUAAGUUAUCACGUGUUGACCCGACUCAGAUCCAGGGGCAAUCCAUGUUAACACCAUAAAAAAAAUCCAAGUUUGAAUUGUGUUCUACCUUGUUCUCUCUCCGUUUAUUGUUUGACAAAAAAUAUUGAAUUUGCAUAUUUUUUAUGAUAUUAACAUGGGUGGUCCAAUCAACAUGUGGUGUGGCAAUUUUAGUCCACUUUGUAGAUGGACGUUGGAUGUUGGGAUUGAUUACAACGGUUUAUAUAGUUGCGUGUACAAAUUAAAAAACAUAUUAAUUAGGAAAAAAAUGAGAAUUGUUCAAUACUUUGAGGGGACAAAUUGCAGUUUUCCCAGCUCUAGAAAUACCAUUGGAGGAGUACCACGGAAAUCACACAUCAAACUUUUACAGCUCUAGAAAUACCAUUGGAGAAGAAGGAUCCCGGAAAUCACACAUCAAACUUUUUAUUGUCUAAAAAAAUUUGCUUUUUCAAUCUUUUUAAGAAGAUUUGGGCUCGAUGUCCAUGGUGCCCAAUUCUUAAUUGAGUAUUCCUAUUCAAAAUAAAAAUUUAAGCUCAAAUCGAUUAUAUGCUAAACUUUAAUUGCUUACCAUGUAAGCCCCGUCAACUACCAACCAAUCAGCAUGAAUAAACAUUGAACCGCGUAUCAAAAAUCUUGAUGCCAAAAUUUUAUUUUGCCAAUUCAGACAAUACUCUUAUUACUCUUAUAUGCAUCUUUCCCUAUUCUGUCACCAUACCCUCCAACCACCUCACCACCACUACUAGGCCAUCACCUUCAGCGGUUGAUUGUUAUUUUCCGGUCAACCAUUGACAAUUUUUUGGACGGGCCACCGACUUAUUUUCUGGUUAUCGCUAACUUUUUUUAUGGCAGCACGAUUUGUUCAAAUACUUUCCAAAAACUUUCUAGCAACGGUUUUUCACGUGACUACCCUUAGCAACUUUUUCUAGAUAAGUGGCUUGCUGUUAGACCGGUAGCUUUCCAACAUGUACCGGCAGACAGACAACACUAGAUCGAGAUAGUUAAAUUCUAUAAGCAGAGAAUUUCAUUGUUCAUUCAUCAAUCACAUAUACCAUUAAAAAAAUUUUAAUUUAACAAGAAAACAAAAUUUGUGUACAUGAAAGGGGUAGGUGUAGAACCUGGUACUUAAGCUAGGGAUAUAACCCUGGACUCCUCCCAACUUCAAUUAACUCCUAAAGUUGUUGCAAGUACGCUACAGUGUUCCAUGUAAGAAGCAAGUAAUUGUUAGUAACGCAAAUAUAUAAAGGAGGAGCUAGUUGCACCACUCAAGAAUGGAGUCAAGAGGUGGCGGCUGGAGGCGACCGUCUGAAAUAUUCAAAUUGUAUAUAUUUGACACCUUGAUAUUGAAAUUAAGAUUGCAUUUUCUACAUAUACAUGUUACAAAUUUUAUAUUUUGUAUGUAUAUUUAUCUUUCCAAAUGUCAAAAUCAUGCUUCGGUCCCUAGCACCACUUGUUGAAGUAUGACAAAUCCUUGUCCCCUUGACACUUCAUAGUUUAAAUUUCAAAUGCUUUGAACAUGGCAUUGGAAAACACGUAGUAAUUGACACGGCAUUGGAAAAA